Molecule: long non-coding RNA, 1865 nt
Organism: Myotis myotis
Lineage: Eukaryota; Metazoa; Chordata; Mammalia; Chiroptera; Vespertilionidae
Exons: 4
Source: RefSeq, a predicted model, not a curated record
GAUCAUCGCUCACGUCGGUGGCUGUUUGCUGAGUGCUCAGUUCUCCUCUUUAGAAACAGGCCGCCCCGCUCCCCGGCUGCCCUCAGGAAAGGAGAGGGGCGGCAUCCUGUCCAGGAGUGACAUUUCAGGGAGCCGUCCACCCUCUGUGCUCUCCUUCGACGACGUGUCGUGAGCCUCACCUGCCUCCGGCCCAGCAGCUUCCUGUUGUGGACGCACUUCUGCUCAUGCCGCCUGAGUCAGCAUCCCACGCAAUGGCCCUUCUGGCUCUUGGGACUUUAGAGCUGGCCUGGUCUCUCCAGGCCAACACUUGCAGUCCUCGGCCCUGAAAUCAAAGUCCGAACUGUCCACUCGUGCAGGCCUACGACCAGGGGUGAUCUGAGUGCUGAGCCUUCAUCACAUGCCUGGGGCUUGAGGAGGCGAGGCCACAGGUAAAGGUCACUCCAUGGUGCUACCUCAAAUGUCUUCUCCCAUCUCGCUGGCAUCGAGAAAAUCUGUGUCCUCUGUUGCAACAGUCUACACUCUAACCCAGGGCCGCCUGAUGGUUAUCAAACAUUUCCACAGUGGUCCAGCCAAAGCUACCUCAUGGAAACAAACAAAGCGAAGGUAGAAAGAAAAACCACCCUCUAAAGCUUUAGCCCUGGGUCUGAAGUCUGCCCAUUUUUUCUUUACAUUACGCACUGGCGUUACUCCCAUCAACACGCCUGUUUUGUUUUUUCACGGCCAUUUCUGACUAGGACCAGGGUCAAUGGAAAAGGUGUUUGUGGGAUGGACUGGACCAUAUCCUGGCCCCACCCUUCAUGGUUUUCCUUUAGAAAGCGCCCACUGCCUUAGGAGGACAGUAUUUCCAGACCUCAGUGGAGUGAAAACUUUAAUACCUAACGCCGAAUUCCUGCCUUUAAGAUACAAUAUGAGGAGAGGCCAAGAAGGGCCUGGUCCACGCCAACCAGGGGGAGCUGCCACCCGCGCGCGGCUCUGCGCAGGCCUCCGGCGCGCACAUCGGGCCUCCGCGGGGCACACCGGAGACUCCACGUUGGGCACUGCCGUCCCCCACGGGACACUCUCCGCCCCGCCCACCCACGGGCUCCACGCGGUGGGCUCCCCACGCAUGGCCCUCUCCGCGCGGGGCCCGCCAUCCUAGAAGGCCUCGCGAGCGCGGGCGUGGACUGCUCCGGCGGACCGCUGUCCGAGGCGCCGCGGGCCAUUCGCACGCCCUGCCCAGACAUCGGCCUUCGGCUUCCGCCGCCCCGUCCUUGCAGCCCCGAGUCCUCCCCGCCGGACAGCCCGUGGAGUCUCCCGCAGCGGCCUCGGUCCCCCGCCGGCUCCGCCCGCUCCCCGCUCUCAGCCCCUCCUUAAACCCAGUCUUGUCCCCAUUCCAGUUGGCUGGGGUGAAGGGCUGUAAGCGGGAUGGUGGUCAGCGGGUCCCCCUCAGGCUCCUCGCACCUGCAAAUGUGGUGGCCCGUCUCUCCCAGGCCUCAGCUCUGCUUCUCAGGAACAAACGUGCCUGGGCGUCCGCUCUGCCUGCACGGGGGGGACACGGGCAGGAGGAGGUGCCGCCUGGCUCUCCACACACCGGGACGGUGAUCAUGUGCGAAAGGACAGCCGAGACUGCAGUGCUGUGUGUGUGCACCGUGGCGCCUGCUCACACUGCUGCCUGCCGUCUAGGUGGGUGUUUUCCCACCGCAGCUCACAGCUCAUUAGAAACCAGUUUAGUGGACUGGAGCUGUCGCUUUAGAAACAACGAAAUAAAAUUGAAAAAUUAGGUGCAUCACAUGUACUAUGGACUAGAGUUUUUUAUGGCGAGUUGAGACUUUUUUAAAAAAAUAUAUUUUAUUGAUUUUUUACAGAGAGGAAGGGAGAGGGAUAGA